GUGGUCACUUCAGUAGCACAUAUACUAAAAUUGCAACAAUACAGAGAAGAUUAGCAUGGUCCCUGCACAAGGAUGACAUGCAAAUUCAUGAAGUGUUCAAUAUUUUU
Small nuclear RNA from Balaenoptera musculus (blue whale), 107 nucleotides. The record is from Ensembl. NCBI's taxonomy places the organism in Eukaryota, Metazoa, Chordata, Mammalia, Artiodactyla, Balaenopteridae.